This 456-nucleotide ribosomal RNA is filed under the name Praticolella mexicana. RNAcentral's name for it is "partial 16S ribosomal RNA". It matches the Rfam family "Archaeal large subunit ribosomal RNA", at positions 1888 to 2689 of the family's 2987-position model. Lineage: Eukaryota; Metazoa; Mollusca; Gastropoda; Stylommatophora; Polygyridae. The record is from RNAcentral.
UCGCCUGUUUAUCAAAAACAUAACUAUAGGUAUUAUCUAUAGCGAUUUCUGCUCCAUGUGAUAAUAAAUAGCCGCAGUACCCUGACUGUGCUAAGGUAGCAUAAUCAAUAGGCUUAUAAUUUAAGUCUGGUAUGAAGGAAAAUUUGGGGAUUAGCUGUCUCUUUAGAAAUAGUUGAAUUUUUUUAUGAAGUGCAAAAACUUCAAUUUAAUUAUUAGACGAGAAGACCCUAGAAAUUUUCUAAUUUUAUUUUGUUGGGGCGACAAGGUAACAAUUUAACUUACCUAUAUAUAUAUUUGAAGUAUUAAGGCAGUGUAGUGAAAUUACUCUAGGGAUAACAGCAUAAUUUAAUAAAGUUUGUGACCUCGAUGUUGGACUAGGUACUUUUAAGUUUAGAAGAAUUAAAUGGUUGCUCUGUUCGAGCGGAUUUUACCUACCUGAUCUGGAUUCAGACCGGA